UACAGAGGUCUCAAGCGUCGUUCGGAUUCAUUGGGCGUAAAGGGUGCGUAGGCGGCGCGGUAAGUCGGGUGUGAAAUCUCGGAGCUUAACUCCGAAACUGCAUUCGAUACUGCCGUGCUUGAGGACUGGAGAGGAGACUGGAAUUUACGGUGUAGCGGUGAAAUGCGUAGAUAUCGUAAGGAAGACCAGUGGCGAAGGCGGGUCUCUGGACAGUUCCUGACGCUGAGGCACGAAGGUCAGGGGAGCAAACGGG
RNAcentral lists this ribosomal RNA (253 nucleotides) under uncultured bacterium. RNAcentral describes it as "partial 16S ribosomal RNA". It matches the Rfam family "Bacterial small subunit ribosomal RNA", at positions 524 to 776 of the family's 1533-position model. The record is from RNAcentral.